Molecule: long non-coding RNA, 1441 nt
Filed under: Arabidopsis lyrata
Lineage: Eukaryota; Viridiplantae; Streptophyta; Magnoliopsida; Brassicales; Brassicaceae
Description: long non-coding RNA (ALYR_LNC001791)
Source: RNAcentral
CUCACUCAUCUACUGCAAGGUUUAUCCUAGAAAAGAAGGGUUUAUCCUUCUGAUAAAUGUCAAGAUAGAUUACUCUCUCCGGUCAUAGCAGGAACAAACAAUUUGAUCUUCAGGAAAACAACUUUAAAGAUGAGAGCAAAGACAACUAUGAGCAAGAAGAUUGCUACAAAGAUCAAGAAUCAUAGACAACGUAGAGGGAAACUCUUUGGCAGUGAUUUAGCAGUUCUGUUUUCUGAUCUAGAGUUUCUUCAACAGCAGCUAGUUGUUGAUCCAUGUAAUCAAUCCCAAACUCUAGACAUCUACUAGUGACUCUUCCUUCUCCAUCACAUCCGCGACAUCUCCAGCAGCAGUGGCACGCUGGACCAUUGAUGAAAAUUAAAAAGGAAUCAUAGAUAAAAGAUGAAUACAAGAGGAAACACUCGAGAUCAAGACUCCAAAGUAUAUAUUCUUUAAAAAGAGUGCCACCUAUUGACCCUCAUAAGAAUCAAGAUAUUUCUUAGACAAAACACAUCAUUUCUUCAAGAGCUUAUUCAUUCCCAAAUUUCUUAUAAUCUGAAAUUCUACUAAUCUCCACUCUCCUUGCUAUGUUGUCAUCAAUUUGUCUGCAAGGCUGGACUGUGGAAACUUGCCCAUGAAAACAAAACUAUAUUCAAUGCAAAGAGUCUUGCUCAAUCAGUCGUAAGGGUUGUAGAAUGGAGUUCCUUCAACCAAAGCCAUAUCUUUUAAUUAGACACUACUAAAACUAACAUUGCAAGUAUCAAAUUGCUAUACUCAAUGUAAAGAUUCUAUAUCUCAGCUUCUAGGUCAUAUCUUUGUGUCCACUGUGAUAAAGAAACUUGAAUUGAGACAGAUCUAAAUACGAGUGAAAGUGACAAGCAUCAACAACACCAUAAAUUUCAACAACAACCGUCGGCAGAAAAGAAAAGAACAGCAAAGCUACUUAACCUUCAAUGAUGGGGACUUGAAUAGGAAUUUGGAACAACAAUCUAUAGCCAGCCCCGGCUCAAUAUAUUUGAGAGCCUUAGGGCAAAAAAAAUUUUUUUGGCCUAUUAUUAUAUACAAAGAGAAAAUUUACUUAAUUUUUAAAAAUUUUGCAGAGUUUUUAUAGUAAAAAUUGUUAUUUUAAAAAUUUUGGGCCUUUUUAUACAUUUUCUUAUAAAUAAUUAGGCCUCUUAAAAUAUAAUUCUCAUAUUAAUAAUAUUUUAAAAAAAUAUUUGGGCCUUUUUAUAUGUAAAUUUUUUUUAUAAAAAAAAAAGCCCCGGGCCGUCGCACUUCCGCCCUACCCAUCUCAGCCGGGGCUGUCUAUAGCACAGCUAAUAGGUUAUGAACAACUUCGACAAUUCAACCGAUUUUCUCACCAUUUACUUAUCAAACAACCACUGAUCUUUGGUUCUUCACACUGCUUCUUGAUUAGGGUUUUGCACCGAUUGAAGAUGGAACU